UACGUAGGGUCCGAGCGUUGUCCGGAAUUAUUGGGCGUAAAGAGCUCGUAGGCGGUCCGUUAAGUCGGAAGUGAAAUCUCAAGGCUCAACCUUGAAAUCGCUUUCGAUACUGGCGGACUUGAGGCAGGUAGGGGAAGGUGGAAUUCCUGGUGUAGCGGUGGAAUGCGCAGAUAUCAGGAGGAACACCGAUGGCGAAGGCAGUUCUCUGGGCCGUAACUGACGCUGAGGCGCGAAAGCGUGGGUAGCAAACAGG
RNAcentral lists this ribosomal RNA (253 nucleotides) under uncultured bacterium. Its description in RNAcentral is "partial 16S ribosomal RNA". It matches the Rfam family "Bacterial small subunit ribosomal RNA", at positions 524 to 776 of the family's 1533-position model. The record is from RNAcentral.